RNAcentral lists this ribosomal RNA (467 nucleotides) under uncultured bacterium. Its description in RNAcentral is "partial 16S ribosomal RNA". It matches the Rfam family "Bacterial small subunit ribosomal RNA", at positions 28 to 506 of the family's 1533-position model. The record is from RNAcentral.
GACGAACGCUGGCGGCGUGCUUAACACAUGCAAGUCGAACGGAAAGGCCCUGCUUUUGUGGGGUGCUCGAGUGGCGAACGGGUGGGUAACACGUGAGUAACCUGCCCUUGACUUUGGGAUAACUUCAGGAAACUGGGGCUAAUACCGGAUAGGAGCUCCUGCUGCAUGGUGGGGGUUGGAAAGUUUCGGCGGUUGGGGAUGGACUCGCGGCUUAUCAGCUUGUUGGUGGGGUAGUGGCUUACCAAGGCUUUGACGGGUAGCCGGCCUGAGAGGGUGACCGGCCACAUUGGGACUGAGAUACGGCCCAGACUCCUACGGGAGGCAGCAGUGGGGAAUAUUGCACAAUGGGCGGAAGCCUGAUGCAGCAACGCCGCGUGCGGGAUGACGGCCUUCGGGUUGUAAACCGCUUUCGCCUGUGACGAAGCGUGAGUGACGGUAAUGGGUAAAGAAGCACCGGCCAACUACGU